CGCUCCCGCCCCACCCCCUCCCCCCGCAGCCGUCCCGGAGGGGGAGGGGCGAGUGGGGGCUGAGGGCGGGCGGCGCGCGGGGGGCGGGGCGGGGCGGUGCCAUGGCGACGGCGCGGGGGUGGCCGGCGCGGCGGGCGGGUCCAGGUAGGCUCCCCGGAGGCCCGGGCUGGCGGGAAGCUGGGCGUGGAGGGGACGGGGGGGGCCUGCGCCGCGACCCCGCCGCGCUGCCGUUGUUCCCAGGCGAUUGCUGUUUCGCGGCUCGGCGAUGCAGACCACGUAAAGGACGACGGAAAACGUCUCCCUGCUGGCGCCGGUUCUGUAACGUAUUGAGCGCUCACGUUCUGAAAAAAACCUUUGGACCCUCUUCUACCUCCGCCGAGAAAGCCCAUCUGGAAGGAAACUCUAAACAGCUUCCAGUGUCACUUGGCUGACAUCACAGCCGACCCGAGAGAGGCAGGAAGAAGUUGUACUUCUACUGAAGAAAAUGCUUUCGUAGCAGGAAUUGAACUGGGUACCUGUUAUUUUCAACCUCAGCCAAAAGCUUGUUUGUUGUACUGAUUAGAAGACUAUUUUGCAAAGGGCCCAAAAUGCUGCACCCCAAAGAUGUAAUUAAAUGCCGAUGGGCACACGGAGUAAAUAUCGAAAGUAAACCUGUCAUCUGUGGAGAACUAAAGACCUUUCAAAUGAAUGGAGGAUGUUCGUACUUUUGAAUGUGAAUUAUGCCUGCCCCUUCUCCAGUCUUGUGGAUUCCUAGUGUCUACAGUGGAAAGAUCUGAGACUCUACAUCAAAGGACAUUAAUACCGCCCACCAAUAUGAGGACAUGAAACCAAUCACCAGUCCAGAAGACGUUUAGUACAGAGGUUCAAGCCUAUGGUUCUACUCUCGGCUCUGUCCCUACCCAACCUUGUGACCCUCCUAGGAAAUCACUUACCCUCUCUGUAACUCAGUGUCCCUCAUCUGCAAAAUAGAGAUACCACUUACCACGAA
Long non-coding RNA from Panthera uncia (snow leopard), 988 nucleotides. RefSeq lists it as uncharacterized. Lineage: Eukaryota; Metazoa; Chordata; Mammalia; Carnivora; Felidae. The record is from RefSeq and is a predicted model, not a curated record. The transcript has 4 exons.